This 489-nucleotide ribosomal RNA is filed under the name uncultured bacterium. RNAcentral's name for it is "partial 16S ribosomal RNA". It matches the Rfam family "Bacterial small subunit ribosomal RNA", at positions 29 to 504 of the family's 1533-position model. The record is from RNAcentral.
AGUGAACGCUGGCGGUAGGCCUAACACAUGCAAGUCGAACGGCAGCACAGUAAGAGCUCGCUCUUACGGGUGGCGAGUGGCGGACGGGUGAGGAAUACAUCGGAAUCUACUUUUUCGUGGGGGAUAACGUAGGGAAACUUACGCUAAUACCGCAUACGACCUACGGGUGAAAGCAGGGGAUCUUCGGACCUUGCGCGAUUGAAUGAGCCGAUGUCGGAUUAGCUAGUUGGCGGGGUAAAGGCCCACCAAGGCGACGAUCCGUAGCUGGUCUGAGAGGAUGAUCAGCCACACUGGAACUGAGACACGGUCCAGACUCCUCCGGGAGGCAGCAGUGGGGAAUAUUGGACAAUGGGCGCAAGCCUGAUCCAGCCAUACCGCGUGGGUGAAGAAGGCCUUCGGUUUGUAAAGCCCUUUUGUUGGGAAAGAAAAGCAGCAGGUUAAUACCCCGCUGUUCUGACGGUACCCAAAGAAUAAGCACCGGCUAACUUC